GGGGGGGGAUUAUCUAGCAAGUCGAGCGGGCGGAAGGAUCUUGCUACCUUAGCUGACGGCGGACGGGUGAGUAAGGCUUAUGAGUCUGCCUAUUAGUGGGGGACAACAUUCCGAAAGGAAUGCUAAUACCGCACACGCCCUACGGGGGAAAGCAGGGGAUCUUCGGACCUUGCGCUAAUAGAUGAGCCUAAGUCAGAUUAUCUAGUUGGUGGGGUAAAGGCCUACCAAGGCGACGAUCUGUAGCGGGUCUGAGAGGAUGAUCCGCCACACUGGGACUGAGACACGGCCCAGACUCCUACGGGAGGCAGCAGUGGGGAAUAUUGGACAAUGGGCGAAAGCCUGAUCCACCCCUGCCGCGUGUGUGAAAAAGGCCUUUUGGUUGUAAAGCACUUUAAGCGAGGAGGAGGCUACCGGGAUUAAUACUCUUGGAUAGUGGACGUUACUCGCAAAAUAAACACCGGCUAACUCUGUGCCAGCAGCCGCGGUAAUACAGAGGGUGCGAGCGUUAAUCGGAUUUACUGGGCGUAAAGCGUGCGUAGGCGGCUUUUUAAGUCGGAUGUGAAAUCCCUGAGCUUAACUUACGAAUUUGCAUUCGAUACUGGGAAGCUAGAGUAUGGGAGAGGAUGGUAGAAUUCCAGGUGUAGCGGAGAAAUGCAUAGAGAUCUGGAGGAAUACCGAUGGCGAAGGCAGCCAUCUCGCCUAAUACUGACGCUGAGGUACGAAAGCAUGGGGAGCCAACAGAUUAGAUACCCUGGUAGUCCAUGCCGCAACGAUGUUCUACUAGCCGUUGGGGUCUUUGAGGCUUUAUGGCGCAUCUUACGCGAUAAUAGACC
Molecule: ribosomal RNA, 833 nt
Filed under: bacterium 14W413
Lineage: Bacteria
Description: bacterial SSU rRNA
Rfam family: Bacterial small subunit ribosomal RNA
Source: RNAcentral